RNAcentral lists this ribosomal RNA (111 nucleotides) under uncultured eukaryote. RNAcentral's name for it is "partial small subunit ribosomal RNA". It matches the Rfam family "Eukaryotic small subunit ribosomal RNA", at positions 1676 to 1785 of the family's 1831-position model. The record is from RNAcentral.
UCGCUACUACCGAUUGAAUGGCUUAGUGAGGCCUCUGGAUUAAGCUUUAAGCUGGGGCAACCCGGGUUAAUGCUGAGAAACUGGUCAAACUUGGUCAUUUAGAGGAAGUAA